GUGGGGAAUUUUGGACAAUGGGGGCAACCCUGAUCCAGCCAUGCCGCGUGAGGGAAGAAGGCCUUCGGGUUGUAAACCUCUUUCGGGCGGGACGAAAUCGGGUGCGUGAAUAGCGCGCCUGGAUGACGGUACCGCAAGAAGAAGCACCGGCUAACUACGUGCCAGCAGCCGCGGUAAUACGUAGGGUGCGAGCGUUAAUCGGAAUUACUGGGCGUAAAGCGUGCGCAGGUGGCUGUCCAAGCCAGAUGUGAAAUCCCCGGGCUCAACCUGGGAAUGGCAUUUGGGACUGGGCGGCUAGAGUGCGGAAGAGGGAGCUGGAAUUCCUGGUGUAGCAGUGAAAUGCGUAGAGAUCAGGAGGAACACCGAUGGCGAAGGCAGGCUCCUGGGCUAGCACUGACACUCAUGCACGAAAGCGUGGGGAGCAAACAGGAUUAGAAACCCCAGUAGUCC
Molecule: ribosomal RNA, 450 nt
Filed under: uncultured bacterium
Lineage: Bacteria
Description: bacterial SSU rRNA
Rfam family: Bacterial small subunit ribosomal RNA
Source: RNAcentral